This 484-nucleotide ribosomal RNA is filed under the name uncultured bacterium. Its description in RNAcentral is "partial 16S ribosomal RNA". It matches the Rfam family "Bacterial small subunit ribosomal RNA", at positions 30 to 507 of the family's 1533-position model. The record is from RNAcentral.
AUUGAACGCUGGCGGCAGGCCUAACACAUGCAAGUCGAGCGGAUGAAGGGAGCUUGCUCCUGGAUUCAGCGGCGGACGGGUGAGUAAUGCCUAGGAAUCUGCCUGGUAGUGGGGGAUAACGUCCGGAAACGGGCGCUAAUACCGCAUACGUCCUGAUGGUGAACGUGGGGGAUCUUCGGACCUCACGCUAUCUGAUGAGCCUAGGUCGGAUUAGCUAGUUGGUGGGGUAAGGGCCUACCAAGGCGACGAUCCGUAACUGGUCUGAGAGGAUGAUCAGUCACACUGGAACUGAGACACGGUCCAGACUCCUACGGGAGGCAGCAGUAGGGAAUAUUGGACAAUGGGCGAAAGCCUGAUCGAGCCAUGCCGCGUGUGUGAAGAAGGUCUUCGGAUUGUAAAGCACUUUAAGUUGGGAGGAAGGGCAGUAAGUUAAUACCUUGCUGUUUUGACGUUACCAACAGAAUAAGCCACGGCUAACUUCGUG